Molecule: ribosomal RNA, 491 nt
Filed under: uncultured bacterium
Lineage: Bacteria
Description: partial 16S ribosomal RNA
Rfam family: Bacterial small subunit ribosomal RNA
Source: RNAcentral
AGUGAACGCUGGCGGUAGGCCUAACACAUGCAAGUCGAACGGCAGCACAGUAAGAGCUUGCUCUUACGGGUGGCGAGUGGCGGACGGGUGAGGAAUACAUCGGAAUCUACUUUUUCGUGGGGGAUAACGUAGGGAAACUUACGCUAAUACCGCAUACGACCUACGGGUGAAAGCAGUGGAUCUUCGGACCUUGCGCGAUUGAAUGAGCCGAUGUCGGAUUAGCUGGUUGGCGGGGUAAAGGCCCACCAAGGCGACGAUCCGUAGCUGGUCUGAGAGGAUGAUGCGCCACACUGAACCUGGGACACGGUCCCGCCUCCUACGGGGGGCAGCAGUGGGAAAUUUUGGACAAUGGGCGCAAGCCUGCUCCAGCCAUACCGCGGGGGUAAAAAAGGCCUUCGGGUUGUAAAGCCCUUUUGUUGGGAAAGAAAAGCAGCAGAUUAAUACCCCGCUGUUCUGACGGUACCCAAAGGAUAAGCACCGGCUAACUUCGU